GGGGAUGUGGCGAAAUUGGCAGCCGCGCUAGAUUUAGGUUCUAGUGGUGAAAUAUCCGUGUGGGUUCGACCCCCUCCAUCCCUA
RNAcentral lists this transfer RNA (84 nucleotides) under Klebsiella phage vB_Kpn_IME260. Its description in RNAcentral is "tRNA-Leu". It matches the Rfam family "tRNA". Rfam says of the family: Transfer RNA (tRNA) molecules are approximately 80 nucleotides in length. RNAcentral also lists the same sequence under 12 other names. The record is from RNAcentral. Lineage: Duplodnaviria; Heunggongvirae; Uroviricota; Caudoviricetes; Demerecviridae.